Long non-coding RNA from Chenopodium quinoa (quinoa), 972 nucleotides. RefSeq lists it as uncharacterized. The record is from RefSeq and is a predicted model, not a curated record. NCBI's taxonomy places the organism in Eukaryota, Viridiplantae, Streptophyta, Magnoliopsida, Caryophyllales, Amaranthaceae. The transcript has 2 exons.
UUGCCCGAUACAAAUAACAGUGUAAAUAAAAUAAAAAACCCUAGUGCUUCGUAUCUAACUUCACUUUUCAUUCCACAAUUAGCCGCCUUCUUCUCUUUUAGACCACACACUCUCUCUCAUCCAUCAUCUCUCAACUCCUGUCUCCCCAAGCAAACGAUUUCUCCCGGCUACCACAGAACGACCUUCUACCACCCUCUCAUAGUCUCGUUUGUCAUCUAAUCCUGCCAUCUCUCAUUUAUAUUCAAGAUCCAAUCCUCAGCCCAUCUAAAAUCAAUCAAAAUCUAAUAAAAAUGGCUUGAUCUCUUUCCAAUUCUCUCACCUCCGCAGCAUCCACCCAUUUUUUCAAUUUUCGACACCUCUCUAACUCGGCAGAGGCAUUUCCCGAUGAAAUUUGGUGGCAGAGGGGGUGGAGACGGUUGGGAUGAAGUAAAGAGACGCUUCUAGAUAUCCUGUGUUAGGUUUCAGAUUAAUUCCAAUCGUUUGUCUCAGCUUAUGUCGUCUAAUUAUUGAUCUGCUAUUUUUGUAGCUUAUUGACUAGUUUAAGGGAGUGAAAACCAUGGCCGAACUUAGGGUUUUUGCUAUAAGGUAGUUGUUUUGGGGGUUUUUUGGAAUUCCUUGGGAUACUGGUCUCGCUCUCCAAACAAUGAGACUUGGACACAUGCAAAAUGAACGAAUAUUCCUUUAUCGGAAUAUUCACCUCCGACAAUCAAGUUAGAGAUCUGAAACAGAAAAGGCUAGAGAGAGAAAGUAGAGAGAAGUUGGAGAUAUUUAAUGUUCUUUUGUUGAAAUGUCGUAAUCCACCCCUCCCAUCAUAAAUGAUUGGAUUAUUUAUAGGGGUGGGAGUUUGUGCUCCUUUAGGGUUUGUACCGUAAAAUUCCGUGGGGUCGCCGUUUUGCGGCUUUCAUGAAAAUCUCUCGAGAUAUGGGCCAUGAUGUAAUAAGGCCUUUUUAAUGCUAAUUUCAAGGGCUUUUU